Molecule: ribosomal RNA, 496 nt
Filed under: uncultured bacterium
Lineage: Bacteria
Description: partial 16S ribosomal RNA
Rfam family: Bacterial small subunit ribosomal RNA
Source: RNAcentral
GAUGAACGCUGGCGGCGUGCCUAAUACAUGCAAGUCGAGCGAACGGACGAGAAGCUUGCUUCUCUGAUGUUAGCGGCGGACGGGUGAGUAACACGUGGAUAACCUACCUAUAAGACUGGGAUACUUCGGGAAACCGGAGCUAAUACCGGAUGAUAUUUUGAACCGCAUGGUUCAAAAGUGAAAGACGGUCUUGCUGUCACUUAUAGAUGGAUCCGCGCUGCAUUAGCUAGUUGGUAAGGUAACGGCUUACCAAGGCAACGAUGCAUAGCCGACCUGAGAGGGUGAUCGGCCACACUGGAACUGAGACACGGUCCAGACUCCUACGGGAGGUAGCAGUAGGGAAUCUUCCGCAAUGGGCGAAAGCCUGACGGAGCAACGCCGCGUGAGUGAUGAAGGUCUUCGGAUCGUAAAACUCUGUUAUUAGGGAAGAACAUAUGUGUAAGUAACUGUGCACAUCUUGACGGUACCUAAUCAGAAAGCCACGGCUAACUACGUG